UAACGCGUGAGGAACCUGCCUCAAAGAGGGGGACAACAGUUGGAAACGACUGCUAAUACCGCAUAAGCCCACAGCUCGGCAUCGAGCAGAGGGAAAAGGAGUGAUCCGCUUUGAGAUGGCCUCGCGUCCGAUUAGCUAGUUGGUGAGGUAAUGGCCCACCAAGGCGACGAUCGGUAGCCGGACUGAGAGGUUGAACGGCCACAUUGGGACUGAGACGCGGCCCAG
This 225-nucleotide ribosomal RNA is filed under the name uncultured bacterium. RNAcentral describes it as "partial 16S ribosomal RNA". It matches the Rfam family "Bacterial small subunit ribosomal RNA", at positions 111 to 334 of the family's 1533-position model. The record is from RNAcentral.